UAAAUGUGGCGCCGGUAUGAACGGGUAGUUUUGAUGGGGCUAAAUAUGGAGAUAAAUAUGCUUCAACAUUUAU
Molecule: transfer RNA, 73 nt
Filed under: Auchenoplax crinita
Lineage: Eukaryota; Metazoa; Annelida; Polychaeta; Terebellida; Ampharetidae
Description: tRNA-Ile
Source: RNAcentral